AUCAUGCAUGAUAAAUAUCUGAUCUAAUUAGAUCACAUCAUCAUGUGAUGUUUUAAAUAAAUUUGAGAUAAAUUUCAAAUCUAAAUCUACUUUUAUAUAGUAUAUAAAAAUUUUUUUAGAUCUACAAUCACAUAGAAAAAUAAUUUAAAUACACACAUAAAUGCAUAAAAAUAAAAUUAUGAUUAGACCUGAUUUUACGUUGUGCAGAAUUUUGUUUGAAAUCAGAUCUGAAAAUUUGUUAAAAUAGAUUCAAUUCAGAUCUUGAUUAUGCCUAACAUCCAA
This 282-nucleotide long non-coding RNA is filed under the name Elaeis guineensis (African oil palm). RNAcentral's name for it is "long non-coding RNA (EGUI_LNC015951)". The record is from RNAcentral. Lineage: Eukaryota; Viridiplantae; Streptophyta; Magnoliopsida; Arecales; Arecaceae.